This 500-nucleotide ribosomal RNA is filed under the name uncultured Myrionecta. Its description in RNAcentral is "SSU rRNA". It matches the Rfam family "Eukaryotic small subunit ribosomal RNA", at positions 34 to 600 of the family's 1831-position model. Lineage: Eukaryota; Ciliophora; Litostomatea; Cyclotrichida; Mesodiniidae. The record is from RNAcentral.
AUGUCUAAGAUAGCCAUGCACGUCUAAGUACAAACUAAAUGAUGGUGAAACUGCAAAUGGCUCAUUACAACGGUUAUGAUGUACCCGGGAGUUCCGAUGGAUAUUUCCAGUAACACUAGAACUAAUACAUGUCCCUGCGUUUAUUAGUUUCGCACAGUCCGUCGCUGAGUCAUGGUAAACAGUUGAUCGACUCGACGUCCCGGAACAGUUUCCGCCCCAUCAGCUUCGAUGGUUGGGUAUUGGCCUACCAUUGCAACAACGGGUAACGAGGAAUUAGGGUUUGAUUUCGGAGAGGGAGCCUGAGAAACGGCUACCACAUCUACGGAUGGCAGCAGGCGCGCAAAUUACCCAAUGCAGACACUGUGAGGUAGUGACGAGAAAUAAUAAAGCGGGACUUCUGUUUCGCUAUUAUAAUGAGGAAUAACCAAAGGUCAUUCCGAUUAGCAACUGAUGGGAAAGUCUGGUGCCAGCAGCCGCGGUAAUACCAGCGUCAGUAGCAU